This 225-nucleotide small nucleolar RNA is filed under the name Malus domestica (apple). RNAcentral describes it as "sRNA MD10G0082300". It matches the Rfam family "Plant small nucleolar RNA U3". From Rfam's summary of the family: Small nucleolar RNAs (snoRNAs) are involved in the processing and modification of rRNA in the nucleolus. The record is from RNAcentral. Lineage: Eukaryota; Viridiplantae; Streptophyta; Magnoliopsida; Rosales; Rosaceae.
ACGACCUUACUUGAACAUGAUCUGUUCUAUAGGUUGUACCUCUGUAUCCUUGAUUUCUAAGGAGACAAGAACCUCAGUCUGGUGGAUGAACCAUGAUCGUGUGAUCAGAGUGUGAUUAACAGCCUUGUGACCCUCGAAUCAUUCAGGCAGUAGAUGAUCGUUCUCAACAAAGGAUAAACUAAUUGCUCUUCAGUGCGAAAGGGUAAAUCAAUUCCCCGACACCCA